ACCAGAAGCAAAGAUUACUUUUUAUAUUGACAAGAGAGCCGAGUGACCACUCUAACAAUGGAAAUAGAUGUGCUCAACGAAUGAAGACAGGCAAGAUCAGGUGGGACCAUUCUAGCCAAUGAGAGGGCAGUUGUGUUGAAAGCACCAUCAAUCCAGAGAAUGCCAGAAUUUGAUGACAAAUUUUUCCCACGAAGGACCGCCGCUCCACCUUCCCGUUCAUGUGAGCACAUCACAAACAGGUCCUGAGGCAUCAAAGCAUCACU
Molecule: long non-coding RNA, 263 nt
Organism: Oncorhynchus kisutch (coho salmon)
Lineage: Eukaryota; Metazoa; Chordata; Actinopteri; Salmoniformes; Salmonidae
Exons: 3
Source: RefSeq, a predicted model, not a curated record